RNAcentral lists this transfer RNA (543 nucleotides) under uncultured Prochlorococcus sp. RNAcentral describes it as "16S-23S ribosomal RNA intergenic spacer". The stretch from base 212 to 284 matches the Rfam family "tRNA". Lineage: Bacteria; Bacillati; Cyanobacteriota; Cyanophyceae; Synechococcales; Prochlorococcaceae. The record is from RNAcentral.
CAGGGAGACAACAAAAUGUUUAAUAUUAUUAUUUUGUCACCUUAGGUCGAUCGGUAUCUCACGUUCUUAAUUUAUUAAGAAUUUCAUUUCCUAAGUUUUUCUAGGUCACACCCAUUUUUUUUCCUGGGCCAUUAGCUCAGGUGGUUAGAGCGCACCCCUGAUAAGGGUGAGGUCCCUGGUUCAAGUCCAGGAUGGCCCAUAUCUCUAUGUUGGGGGUAUAGCUCAGUUGGUAGAGCGCCUGCUUUGCAAGCAGGAUGUCAGCGGUUCGAGUCCGCUUACCUCCACUGAUUACCACCUCUUCCAUAAUUUGAAGAAAGGAAAUUUUUUGAGUUGUGAUCAAAUUCUGAACGAAUCUAGCUUCCUAAUGAAUCCAUUAAGAUGCUGGACUCAUUGAAUUAAUUUUCAUUGUUUUCAGAGAACCUUGACAACUGCAUAGAUUAUUUUUAAAGACAAUAAGCAUCUUUAAUGAUGCAGAUUUAUUAUUUGUGCGAAUGCAUUAAUAACAAUUCUAUUAAGCUGAUGCUUCAAUUUUUGAAGUUAUUG